Mytilus californianus (California mussel) is the source of this 969-nucleotide long non-coding RNA. RefSeq lists it as uncharacterized. The record is from RefSeq and is a predicted model, not a curated record. Lineage: Eukaryota; Metazoa; Mollusca; Bivalvia; Mytilida; Mytilidae. The transcript is spliced from 3 exons.
AAAUGAAAACGUUAUAAUUUUUGUAAUAAAAUUGAGAAUGGAAAUGGGGUAGGUUUACUCGAUUUACAUGUCUCAAAUCUAAUAAUUUUUUGUUAGCACAAUAAAGUAAUGAGUAUUAUACAAUGUGUUUUUUACUGAAGAACAGCAUAUUGCUCUGACUUUUUAAGGUCUCUAUAAUGCUGAAAUGUAUGCACACAUUGCUCUGACUGCUGGUGUCCUAGCAACCAUCUUGAUAAUAACAGGAACAUUCACUCCUUUUUGGACAGUAAUAUCUGAUUCGGCUUGGUCACAAUCUUUUGACUCAUCAUGGACAAAUAUUUCUAUGACCUCAAUAGGACUAGGACUUUGGUUCCAACAAAUGUGCACCACUGAUGGCUGUGGUACGUCAUUUUAUCCAUCAUACAUGUACAACGUAAAUGUCAUGGACAUGACUGGGUUAACAGAGUUCCGAAUGUAUACCAGUUGCGGAAUCCUUUUGAGCAUUUCUGCAUGCAUCCUGUGUUUUCUUCAUAUCAAGGAAAAGAGUCCCAAACUGACAGGAUUUGCAGCUUCGUUAAUGUUCCUUUUUUCAGGCAUAAUGAUAUGGUUACCAGCUGGAAAGAUGAUACACAGAUAUGUUCGGUUCGAUACCAAUCUUGACGAGGUUGGUAUACCGGCUAAUCCUCUUCAGUUCCCGUACUCCGCCAUUAUAUGUGGCGUUGGUGGCAUUAUGAACGUAUUCUGUAUAUUCCUCAUUGCAAGCAGUGUUAAAAAGAUGUGGAACUACACGUCAGAAUUUAGACAUAAGAGAUUGGAGCUAAAUACAUUUAUUUAAUUGCAGACAGUUUAAUUGCAUUCCAAAGUACAGAUCCCAAGCAAGAAUAAAUUAAUGGCAUACAGAAAACUUCUCGAUUUUGUAAUAGAGCGUGUUAAAAAUUAUUUACUGAUACAGCUGUAAAUUAUUUUAUAAGUAAAAACAACAAUUUUUAA